Molecule: ribosomal RNA, 219 nt
Filed under: uncultured Enterobacteriaceae bacterium
Lineage: Bacteria; Pseudomonadati; Pseudomonadota; Gammaproteobacteria; Enterobacterales; Enterobacteriaceae
Description: partial 16S ribosomal RNA
Rfam family: Bacterial small subunit ribosomal RNA
Source: RNAcentral
CGGAGGAAGGUGGGGAUGACGUCAAGUCAUCAUGGCCCUUACGACCAGGGCUACACACGUGCUACAAUGGCGCAUACAAAGAGAAGCGACCUCGCGAGAGCAAGCGGACCUCAUAAAGUGCGUCGUAGUCCGGAUUGGAGUCUGCAACUCGACUCCAUGAAGUCGGAAUCGCUAGUAAUCGUGGAUCAGAAUGCCACGGUGAAUACGUUCCCGGGCCUU